This 707-nucleotide ribosomal RNA is filed under the name uncultured bacterium. RNAcentral describes it as "bacterial SSU rRNA". It matches the Rfam family "Bacterial small subunit ribosomal RNA", at positions 35 to 720 of the family's 1533-position model. The record is from RNAcentral.
GCUGGCGGCAUGCCUAACACAUGCAAGUCGAACGGGGAUGAGGUGCUUGCACUUCAUUCUAGUGGCGCACGGGUGAGUAACGCGUGGAUAAUCUGCCUGAUGCACUGGGAUAACAUCUCGAAAGGGGUGCUAAUACCGGAUAAGCCCACGACCUCUUCGGAGGAUGCGGGAAAAGGAGGGGACCUUCGGGCCUUCCGACAUCAGAUGAGUCCGCGUCCCAUUAGCUAGUUGGUGGUGUAAAGGACCACCAAGGCGACGAUGGGUAGCUGGUCUGAGAGGAUGAUCAGCCACACUGGAACUGAGACACGGUCCAGACUCCUACGGGAGGCAGCAGUGGGGAAUUUUGCGCAAUGGGGGCAACCCUGACGCAGCAAUGCCGCGUGAGUGAUGAAGGCUUUCGGGUCGUAAAGCUCUGUCAGAAGGGAAGAAAUGUAGGUGGCUAAUAUCCAUUCUACUUGACGGUACCUUCAAAGGAAGCACCGGCUAACUCCGUGCCAGCAGCCGCGGUAAUACGGAGGGUGCGAGCGUUGUUCGGAAUUAUUGGGCGUAAAGCGCGUGUAGGCGGUUUAUUAAGUCUGAUGUGAAAGCCCCGGGCUCAACCUGGGAAGUGCAUUGGAUACUGGUAGACUUGAGUACGGGAGAGGGUAGUGGAAUUCCUAGUGUAGGAGUGAAAUCCGUAGAUAUUAGGAGGAACACCGGUGGCGAAG